UACAGAGGGUGCAAGCGUUGUUCGGAAUUAUUGGGCGUAAAGGGAGUGUAGGCGGUUUGGUAAGUCUUCUGUGAAAUCUACGGGCUUAGCCUGUAACGUGCAGAGGAAACUACCGAGCUUGAGUGUCGGAGAGGAUAGGGGAAUACCCAGUGUAGAGGUGGAAUUCGUAGAGAUUGGGUGGAACACCAGUGGCGAAGGCGCCUAUCUGGCUGACAACUGACGCUGAGACUCGAAAGCAUGGGGAGCAAACAGG
This 253-nucleotide ribosomal RNA is filed under the name uncultured bacterium. RNAcentral describes it as "partial 16S ribosomal RNA". It matches the Rfam family "Bacterial small subunit ribosomal RNA", at positions 524 to 776 of the family's 1533-position model. The record is from RNAcentral.